This 73-nucleotide transfer RNA is filed under the name Felis catus (domestic cat). It matches the Rfam family "tRNA". Rfam says of the family: Transfer RNA (tRNA) molecules are approximately 80 nucleotides in length. Their secondary structure includes four short double-helical elements and three loops (D, anti-codon, and T loops). Further hydrogen bonds mediate the characteristic L-shaped molecular structure. tRNAs have two regions of fundamental functional importance: the anti-codon, which is responsible for specific mRNA codon recognition, and the 3' end, to which the tRNAs corresponding amino acid is attached (by aminoacyl-tRNA synthetases). tRNAs cope with the degeneracy of the genetic code in two manners: having more than one tRNA (with a specific anti-codon) for a particular amino acid; and 'wobble' base-pairing, i.e. permitting non-standard base-pairing at the 3rd anti-codon position. The record is from Rfam by way of RNAcentral. RNAcentral also lists the same sequence under 3 other names. Lineage: Eukaryota; Metazoa; Chordata; Mammalia; Carnivora; Felidae.
GCCUGCCUGGCUCAGUCGAUAGAGCAUGUGACUCCUGAUCUCAUAAUCAUGAGUUUGAGCCUCAUGUUGGGUG